AUUGAACGCUGGCGGCAGGCCUAACACAUGCAAGUCGAGCGGAUGAAGGGAGCUUGCUCCUGGAUUCAGCGGCGGACGGGUGAGUAAUGCCUAGGAAUCUGCCUGGUAGUGGGGGAUAACGUCCGGAAACGGGCGCUAAUACCGCAUACGUCCUGAGGGAGAAAGUGGGGGAUCUUCGGACCUCACGCUAUCACAUGAGCCUGGGUCGGAUUAGCUAGUUGGUGGGGUAAAGGCCUACCAAGGCGACGAUCCGUAACUGGUCUGAGAGGAUGAUCAGUCACACUGGAACUGAGACACGGUCCAGACUCCUACGGGAGGCAGCAGUGGGGAAUAUUGGACAAUGGGCGAAAGCCUGAUCCAGCCAUGCCGCGUGUGUGAAGAAGGUCUUCGGAUUGUAAAGCACUUUAAGUUGGGAGGAAGGGCAGUAAGUUAAUACCUUGCUGUUUUGACGUUACCAACAGAAUAAGCACCGGCUAACUUCGUG
RNAcentral lists this ribosomal RNA (484 nucleotides) under uncultured bacterium. RNAcentral describes it as "partial 16S ribosomal RNA". It matches the Rfam family "Bacterial small subunit ribosomal RNA", at positions 30 to 507 of the family's 1533-position model. The record is from RNAcentral.